GAGUUUGAUCAUGGCUCAGAGUGAACGCUGGCGGCACGCCUAACACAUGCAAGUCGAGCGAGAAACUAAACUUCGGUUUAGCGGAAAGCGGCGGACGGGUGAGUAACGCGUGGGAAUUUACCAAAGAGUGGGGAACAACUGCUGGAAACGGCAGCUAAUACCGCAUACGCCCUACGGGGGAAAGGCUUCGGCCGCUCUUUGAGAAGCCCGCGUACGAUUAGUUUGUUGGUGAGGUAAUGGCUUACCAAGACUACAAUCGUUAGCUGGUCUGAGAGGACGAUCAGCCACACUGGGACUGAGACACGGCCCAGACUCCUACGGGAGGCAGCAGUGGGGAAUAUUGGACAAUGGGCGAAAGCCUGAUCCAGCGAUGCCGCGUGAGUGAAGAAGGCCCUAGGGUUGUAAAGCUCUUUCGGUGGGGAAGAUAAUGACGGUACCCACAAAAGAAGCCCCGGCUAACUCCGUGCCAGCAGCCGCGGUAAUACGGAGGGGGCUAGCGUUACUCGGAAUUACUGGGCGUAAAGCGAGCGUAGGCGGUUAAUCAAGUUGGGGGUGAAGGCCCGGGGCUCAACCCCGGAAAUGCCCUCAAAACUAGUUAACUAGAGGACGGGAGAGGGGGAGUGGAACUCCCAGUGUAGAGGUGAAAUUCGUAGAUAUUGGGAAGAACACCAGUGGCGAAGGCGACUCUCUGGACCGUUUCUGACGCUAAGGCUCGAAAGCGUGGGUAGCAAACAGGAUUAGAUACCCUGGUAGUCCACGCCGUAAACGAUGAGUGCUAGACGUUGGGGGGAACGCCCUUCAGUGUCGUCGCUAACGCAUUAAGCACUCCGCCUGGGGAGU
Molecule: ribosomal RNA, 840 nt
Filed under: uncultured bacterium
Lineage: Bacteria
Description: bacterial SSU rRNA
Rfam family: Bacterial small subunit ribosomal RNA
Source: RNAcentral